GGCGAACGGGUGAGUAACACGUGAGUAACCUGCCCUUGACUCUGGGAUAAGCCUGGGAAACCGGGUCUAAUACUGGAUAUGACCUUCUGGCGCAUGCCAUGUUGGUGGAAAGCUUUAUUGCGGUUUUGGAUGGACUCGCGGCCUAUCAGCUUGUUGGUGGGGUAAUGGCCUACCAAGGCGACGACGGGUAGCCGGCCUGAGAGGGUGGACGGCCACACUGGGACUGAGACACGGCCCAGACUCCUACGGGAGGCAGCAGUGGGGAAUAUUGCACAAUGGGCGCAAGCCUGAUGCAGCGACGCCGCGUGGGGGAUGAAGGCCUUCGGGUUGUAAACCUCUUUCAGUAGGGAAGAAGCGAAAGUGACGGUACCUGCAGAAGAAGCGCCGGCUAACUACGUGCCAGCAGCCGCGGUAAUACGUAGGGCGCAAGCGUUAUCCGGAAUUAUUGGGCGUAAAGAGCUCGUAGGCGGUUUGUCGCGUCUGCCGUGAAAGUCCGAGGCUCAACCUCCGGCCUGCAGUGGGUACGGGCAGACUAGAGUGCGGUAGGGGAGAUUGGAAUUCCUGGUGUAGCGGUGGAAUGCGCAGAUAUCAGGAGGAACACCAAUGGCGAAGGCAGAUCUCUGGGCCGUAACUGACGCUGAGGAGCGAAAGCAUGGGGAGCGAACAGGAUUAGAUACCCUGGUAGUCCAUGCCGUAAACGUUGGGAACUAGGCGUAGGGUCCAUUCCACGGAUU
This 734-nucleotide ribosomal RNA is filed under the name uncultured bacterium. RNAcentral's name for it is "bacterial SSU rRNA". It matches the Rfam family "Bacterial small subunit ribosomal RNA", at positions 97 to 840 of the family's 1533-position model. The record is from RNAcentral.